GAAUAAGAAGCAAUCAAUGCAUUUAGUUUCGACCUAAACCUAGGUAUUUAAUAUAUUUACCCUUAUUCU
RNAcentral lists this transfer RNA (69 nucleotides) under Laxta sp. BLA048. Its description in RNAcentral is "tRNA-Arg". Lineage: Eukaryota; Metazoa; Arthropoda; Insecta; Blattodea; Blaberidae. The record is from RNAcentral.